RNAcentral lists this ribosomal RNA (292 nucleotides) under uncultured bacterium. RNAcentral describes it as "partial 16S ribosomal RNA". It matches the Rfam family "Bacterial small subunit ribosomal RNA", at positions 505 to 796 of the family's 1533-position model. The record is from RNAcentral.
GUGCCAGCCGCCGCGGUAAUACAGAGGGUGCGAGCGUUAAUCGGAAUUACUGGGCGUAAAGCGCACGUAGGUGGCGACGUAAGUCGGGUGUGAAAGCCCCGGGCUCAACCUGGGAAUUGCAUUCGAGACUGUGUCGCUGGAGUACGGAAGAGGAAGGCGGAAUUCCCGGUGUAGCGGUGAAAUGCGUAGAUAUCGGGAGGAACAUCAGUGGCGAAGGCGGCCUUCUGGUCCAGUACUGACACUCAAGUGCGAAAGCGUGGGGAGCAAACAGGAUUAGAUACCCUUGUAGUCC